CAGUAGCCGCGGUAAUACGGAGGGUGCAAGCGUUAAUCGGAAUUGCUGGGCGUAAAGCGCACGCAGGCGGUCUGUCAAGUCAGAUGUGAAAUCCCCGGGCUUAACCUGGGAACUGCAUUUGAAACUGGCAGACUGGAGUCUUGUAGAGGGGGGUAGAAUUCCAGGUGUAGCGGUGAAAUGCGUAGAGAUCUGGAGGAAUACCGGUGGCGAAGGCGGCCCCCUGGACAAAGACUGACGCUCAGGUGCGAAAGCGUGGGGAGCAAACAGGAUUAGAUACCCCGGUAGUCCCUGUCUCUUAUAC
This 301-nucleotide ribosomal RNA is filed under the name uncultured bacterium. RNAcentral describes it as "partial 16S ribosomal RNA". It matches the Rfam family "Bacterial small subunit ribosomal RNA", at positions 509 to 807 of the family's 1533-position model. The record is from RNAcentral.